UACGUAGGGCGCGAGCGUUGUCCGGAAUUAUUGGGCGUAAAGAGCUUGUAGGUGGUUUGUCGCGUCUGCUGUGAAAACCCGAGGCUCAACCUCGGGCCUGCAGUGGGUACGGGCAGACUAGAGUGCGGUAGGGGAGAUUGGAAUUCCUGGUGUAGCGGUGGAAUGCGCAGAUAUCAGGAGGAACACCGAUGGCGAAGGCAGAUCUCUGGGCCGUAACUGGACGCUGAGGAGCGAAAGCGUGGGGAGCGAACAGG
Molecule: ribosomal RNA, 254 nt
Filed under: uncultured bacterium
Lineage: Bacteria
Description: partial 16S ribosomal RNA
Rfam family: Bacterial small subunit ribosomal RNA
Source: RNAcentral